Notothenia coriiceps (black rockcod) is the source of this 551-nucleotide long non-coding RNA. RefSeq lists it as uncharacterized. NCBI's taxonomy places the organism in Eukaryota, Metazoa, Chordata, Actinopteri, Perciformes, Nototheniidae. The record is from RefSeq and is a predicted model, not a curated record. The transcript is spliced from 3 exons.
CUGCGCUGAGAAAAAGCCAUGGGAGAGAAAUAAAAGCUCUGCGGGACACAUGCUGGGACGACUGGCUUCCGGGAGGCGCGUGUAGGUUGGUACCAUUGCUGCCGAUCUGGUUGGAGUAACCAAAGUCAAAAGCCGGAUGGGGAUUGGCUGCUUCUGCUGGAAUUUUACUUCCUGUUUCCAGCCGUGAGAGACUUUUGACGUAUCUUCCUGAAUAUUCAACACACAUUCUUUUAAACACACACUCCUGGACAUUGACAGUUUGGAUAACAGCCUCCUGAUUGCAAUCUGCAAACACACAUCUGUUCUGCAACACACACACACACACACACACACACACACACACACCCACACACACACACACACACACACACACACACACACACACACACACACACACACACACACACACACACACCUGCGUUCUGUGUGAAGACACACCUGAUCUGUCAGCGAUGACAUCACACAGCCACCAAGAGGGCAUCCUGGGAAAGGAGCAGCCGCUGGAGGUGCUGAAGACAUCGGCGCUCAACCACAUCCCAACAGGUUGGACA